UCGGUUCUGGUUCACGGCGCCCGGCACCGACCCAGCGACC
This 40-nucleotide non-coding RNA is filed under the name Brachybacterium paraconglomeratum LC44. RNAcentral describes it as "L31-Actinobacteria ribosomal protein leader". It matches the Rfam family "L31-Actinobacteria ribosomal protein leader". Lineage: Bacteria; Bacillati; Actinomycetota; Actinomycetes; Micrococcales; Dermabacteraceae. The record is from RNAcentral.